Molecule: transfer RNA, 72 nt
Filed under: Mus musculus (house mouse)
Lineage: Eukaryota; Metazoa; Chordata; Mammalia; Rodentia; Muridae
Rfam family: tRNA
About the family: Transfer RNA (tRNA) molecules are approximately 80 nucleotides in length. Their secondary structure includes four short double-helical elements and three loops (D, anti-codon, and T loops).
Source: Rfam by way of RNAcentral
AGAGAGUUGGCUCAGUGGUUAAGAGCACUGCCUGAUCUUCCAGAGGCUGAGGGUUCAAUUCCCCACACUCUA